This 548-nucleotide ribosomal RNA is filed under the name Lactifluus porphyreus. RNAcentral describes it as "Lactifluus sp. 12 HL-2019 partial large subunit ribosomal RNA". It matches the Rfam family "Eukaryotic large subunit ribosomal RNA", at positions 85 to 631 of the family's 3401-position model. Lineage: Eukaryota; Fungi; Basidiomycota; Agaricomycetes; Russulales; Russulaceae. The record is from RNAcentral.
AACUGCGAGUGAAGCGGGAAAAGCUCAAAUUUAAAAUCUAAUGGUCUUUGGCCAUUCGAGUUGUAAUUUAGAGAAGCGUCUUCCGCGCCAGACCAUGUACAAGUCUCCUGGAACGGAGCGUCGUAAAGGGUGAGAAUCCCGUCUUUGACAUGGACCCUUGGUGCUUCUGUGAUGCGCUCUCAAAGAGUCGAGUUGUUUGGGAAUGCAGCUCAAAAUGGGUGGUGAACUCCAUCUAAGGCUAAAUAUUGGCGACACACCGAUAGCGAACAAGUACCGUGAGGGAAAGAUGAAAAGCACUUUGGAAAGAGAGUGAAACAGUACGUGAAAUUGUUGAAAGGGAAACACUUGAAGUCAGUCGCGUCGAUCGAGACUCAGCCUUGCCUUGGCUCGGCGUACUUCUCGACUUGACGGGCCAGCAUCAAUUUCGUCCCUCGGAUAAUGGCAGGGGAAAGGUGGCACCUUCACGGGUGUGUUAUAGUCUCUUGUCGCAUACGAGGGGUGGGAUUGAGGAACUCAGCACGUGCCUCACGGUGUCGGGGCUUCGGCCC